AUCCCCCAAACCAAGGGGGGAUGAGAACCACCGACCGGAGUUCGACAACUGGCGCAGCCAGUUGGACAGACGACGAGCUUGCGAGGAGACUGCCCGAAGGGCGAGCGCAGCGAGUCAAUCCCCCCUCACCGCCA
Molecule: small RNA, 134 nt
Filed under: Salmonella enterica
Lineage: Bacteria; Pseudomonadati; Pseudomonadota; Gammaproteobacteria; Enterobacterales; Enterobacteriaceae
Also listed under: 1 other name
Description: RtT sRNA
Rfam family: RtT RNA
About the family: This family represents a bacterial cis-regulatory element known as RtT RNA. The exact function of RtT is unknown although it is thought that it may be involved in changing the cellular response in relation to amino acid starvation.
Source: RNAcentral